GCCUGGCUUGUUCAGUGGGUAGAGCAUGUGACUCUUGAUCUCAGGGUCAUGAGCUCAAGCCCCAUGUUGGGUG
This is a non-coding RNA of Canis lupus familiaris (dog), 73 nucleotides long. The record is from Rfam. Lineage: Eukaryota; Metazoa; Chordata; Mammalia; Carnivora; Canidae.